UUCCUCCUGAAUUUUAUGAAUUCAUGUUUCUUCCGUUUUGGUUUCUCCGUCCCGUGCAUCAACCCCUGCUUCCAAACCUCCAUCUUUUUCGUUUCUUCAGCGGGCGAAACGACAUCCUUCGGAUUCUCCCGUUUGAUCUCAUGCUGAAAGCAGCAUCGUUCAUGGUGCCAAAACCAUUCUAUUCGUUCAUUGCAUUGUCACAGAAGCUCGGAGAAAGGACUUCUCGGAAACCCCAGAUCAAAUCCUCCUCCCAAAUCGGGCCCAAGAAACAACCGAAUCAAUCCACAUAGAGAAACCCCAAAUCCAAAAAUGGUUUCGCGGUUUCUUUUGGAAAGCGGCUAGAGUAGGU
This is an RNA transcript of Vitis vinifera (wine grape), 349 nucleotides long. RefSeq lists it as uncharacterized. Lineage: Eukaryota; Viridiplantae; Streptophyta; Magnoliopsida; Vitales; Vitaceae. The transcript is spliced from 3 exons. The record is from RefSeq and is a predicted model, not a curated record.